GACAAACGUCACACGAGGGCUGACGCUGACCAUCCGGACCCGAAGUGCUGAAGGAGACAAGAACUGUGAUGCACAUGGACCAAACAUGAUGAGUGCGGAGGGAGACGGAAGGAGUUAAGUUUACCACCGGGGGAGGAUAGUUCUUUCUCUUCCAGACCAGACAUUGAUGUCGUCAUAACCCUUUAUGUUUAUCUCUGGGAAACGCGGGGGAGGACAGCCCUCUCUCAUCUCCCUCACCGGGCUC
Molecule: long non-coding RNA, 244 nt
Filed under: Cottoperca gobio
Lineage: Eukaryota; Metazoa; Chordata; Actinopteri; Perciformes; Bovichtidae
Description: lncRNA (ENSCGOG00000011012.1)
Source: RNAcentral